Molecule: unclassified non-coding RNA, 8175 nt
Filed under: Anneissia japonica
Lineage: Eukaryota; Metazoa; Echinodermata; Crinoidea; Comatulida; Comatulidae
Description: aTP-binding cassette sub-family C member 9-like, transcript variant X4
Source: RNAcentral
GUUUGUAUCCAUGUUUUGCUAGGACUCACAAGACUAGCUUAAAUCGGUAAAAAGCUCGUGACAAGGCCUAUGGAAGGAAACUGAGGCUUAAACUGUAAAAAAAUGUCACCGUUGACGAGAAAUUGACACACUGAGGAUAUAGGCAUACAGCUGCAACUGUUAAAGAUCAGUGUAAAUUUCUUCUGUCUGCUCGUAUACGGAAUCUCAACGAGGGAUAAACACAAUCAUGGCAGUGGAAAGUGGAUCUGAAAAGUGGAAAUGGUUCUGCGGUAAAAAUUCAUCGGAUCUCGUGUUUUUUGAUGAUUUUGAAUGGAAAAAGAAUUUCACGUACGGAAACGCGUGCUUUAUGAGCGCUGUCUACACGAUCCCCCAUGCACUCUUCAUUGUCGUGUUCAUUUUAGUUCUGGCGUGCCUUUUCAUCUUCUCGCCCCGAAACCUACCCCCCUCAAAAUAUCUAAUCCGUUUUCCAGGUCAUGUGGUGCGGUGGUUAGUAUCCAGCCUAUUAUUGGUGGUUCUAUUUGCUUCUAUCGGGGAGGGGAUUUUAACCGAUCAGACGUUUGAAGGCGCGCCUACUCAACCCCAUUUAUAUCUGACAGGGUGUUGUUCUGUUGUUACUGUUAUACUAUCUCUUAUGGUUUAUCAAAUGAUGGAAAUACGUAACGCAAUAUACAUUUCACUAGUUCUUAGUCUUUAUUGGAUCCUGGCGAUCGGAGUCGAAGCCUUUCGCUUGGUCGGCCUGGAUUACAUGAAAUUAGCUUCGAUUGAAACGAUUCGUUUUAAUAUCUGUCUGUUGUCUUUGGCUGGAUUUACGAUCAUCUUGCUGGUUGAAUUAUAUGUGUUUCAAGGCAAGAUUUAUCGUGUAUGCUGUGUUCCGUAUGGCGGUAUUCUCUCGCCUUCAGAGUUUCCCGUUGACGAUAUGCUUUACAAAGACCAAUAUUCGAAUGCCGUCUCCCAGAUUAGUUUUUGGUGGCUGAACUGGUUGCUGAGACUUGGCUAUAAGCGCCCUCUAGAGAUUUCUGAUUUGGGAUCAAUACCUGACGAUUUUGAAAGCCGAAAUAAUUUGAACAAAUUUAAAGAGGCAUUUGAGAAAGAAAAGAAAAGAGCAGAGAGUAAAAACGUCAUGCCGUCUCUUUGGCGAGUAUUCGCUGUUGUCUACGGAAGAGGUCUUUUAACUUCUGGUAUUUUCAAUUUAAUUGGUAACCUCCUUAGUUUCGUUGGACCACUGGUUGUUGGAGCAAUUGUUACUUAUGUAACGAAAAUCGUAUACUUUCCAGAUUCAGAAGUUAAGGUUAGUCAUUACGUCACAACUAAGGAAUACUUUGACAAUGGUUUCAUACUAGUUGGUGUGAUGUUCUUUGCUGGAAUAGGCAAAUUUGUUUGCAUACAGUCAGCUUUCCAUCUGGCGAUUUUAGAGUCGCUGAAAGUACGAGUGGCGAUUCAGGCCGUCGUUUAUGAGAAAUCUUUGGCGCUGUCAACUUUUGCGAUUACAGGCGGCGCUAUGACAAUGGGACAGAUAACCAACCACAUGUCAACCGACGCCAUGUCGCUCGUUUACAUAUUUCAACUCGGGAACCAACUUUGGUCAAUUCCAGUGAUUAUUGCCGUAACGCUGGCCUUGCUGUAUCAGGAGAUGGGCGUAUCUGCUUUGAUUGGAGCUAGUGUUUUCUUAGUGACGUUUCCUAUUCAAAUUAAAAUCGGAGCACUGAUGUCGAAAAUCCAAAAAGAAACCAUGGUAUUUUCCGAUGAACGACUUAAACUAUCGAAUGAAUUGUUGCAAGGAAUCAAAUUACUAAAAGUGUAUGGCUGGGAGAAAGUAUACGCUGACAUGAUUGAAGGUGUUCGAGCAAAUGAAUUCAAAUGUAUGAAGCGCAUGGGCGUGUGUACUGUGUUCCAAUAUUUCUUCGUAAUGUCUUCUCCAGUAAUGGUAACCUUACUCUCUUUUUCGCUGUAUAGUAAACUUGAAGGCGUUGAUUUGAAACCGGACAUUGCGUUUUCUUCACUUGCGCUCUUCCAACAAUUGACCGUCCCAUUGUUCCUUCUGCCGAUGACACUUGCGUUCCUGGUUAACGCAAUUGUUAGCACAAAUCGUUUACGGAAUUUUUUGAUUGCACCAGAAAUUGAAAAACUCGAUAAUGGUCGGCAACAGAGACAGCAAAAGAAUGGUGUAAACCAUCACAUGCAUGAUGAUAAGAUUCCAAACGUAGACUUCAAAUUUCCGGGCAAUAGAGCAAAAUCAUCAGUGAAGAAGAACUCUGGGAAUUCUGAGCAUUUGGCAUUUCAGAAUUACGACGAUAAAUCAAAACUUACUUCUUCGGGGAAACACGUCACAUCAUAUGGAAGUAUGUCAACAUCACUAUCAGCUACUCCGAACGAUGUACCUGAUGACGUCACAUUCACAAUAAGAAAUGGAGAUUUUUGUUGGGAUCUGGAUUCAAAUAUUCCAUGUAUUUCGGACAUCAAUGUCGAUAUUCCUGCAGGUAGACUAACUAUAAUUGUUGGCCAGGUUGGUUCAGGUAAAUCAUCUUUGAUAGCGGCUGCACUUGGAGAAAUGAGGACGAAAUCAGGAGAAGUACAGUGGAAUAGGAAUAAGAACUCUGUGGCGUAUGGCUCUCAGAAGGCUUGGUUGGUUAAUGCGUCACUAAGGGACAACAUCCUGUUUGGAUCAGAAUAUGAGUACCAACGGUAUGAACGGACUAUAGAAGCGUGCGCCCUCAAACCAGACAUCGAGAUCUUACCAGGCGGUGAUCAGACUGAGAUUGGUGAGAAAGGGAUCAACCUUAGCGGAGGUCAGAAGCAGAGGGUCAGCAUAGCGAGGACUGUGUAUUCCGAUGCAGACGUCAUAAUUUUGGAUGAUCCUCUGUCUGCAUUGGAUGUUCACGUCGGAAGUCAGGUUUUCAACGAAGGAAUUAUGGGAUUGUUAAUAGAAAAAGGUAAAACUGUGGUCCUCGUCACCCAUCAAAUACAAUAUGUGGAAUUUGCACAUCAGAUUAUUGUUAUGGACGACGGGAAAGUACUCACCCAGGGAACGUUAGAUGAGAUUAGAUCAGAUGAUCCGGAGUUGUACCGAUCCUGGCAGAAAUCUAUGGCGCAGAAGGAAUCGGAGAGUGAGAUGAGUGAAAUAGAAAGCGCAGAUGAAGAAAGGAUGAAGUUAAAGAAGCAAAUAUCCAUCAGAGAAUCAGCCGAAGUUCGGGACCAGAUAUCUAAAAAAAAUUCCGAAACUGGGAAACUUAUCGAGGAAGAGGAGAUUGUCAGGGGCUCAGUCUCUUACAAGAUGUACUUUUACUACAUCAACGCUAUGGGCAAGCUGCUUGCUGUGUUAGUUCUCGUCAGCUGUAUAUCUGUGACAGGUAUGAUGGUCGGCACUAAUUUCUGGUUGUCUGAAUGGUCGGAGGCCGGUAUUGCUGUCUCAAAUGACACAAGGACGACUAAAGACUAUAUUCUAGGUUAUACUGGCCUAUCGAUCUCAAGUAUUGUAUUGUCCAUGGUGUCGUCUGUAAGUCUGGUGUUUGUGUGCCUCUACGCGGCUCAGAAAUUGUUUUUAAAUCUACUGCGAAAUGUUAUCAACGUGCCAGUCAGGUUUUUUGAUGUUACACCUGUUGGACGCAUCCUCAAUCGAUUUUCGAACGACACACAAGUCAUUGAUGUGCGAUUGAAUCAGCUGAUAAACGGACUUAUACGAAGCACAGUGAGCUGUGUUGCUGCCCUCAUCGUCAACACAAUCGUUGUACCAGUGUUUAUCGCCAUUGUUUUUCCGGUUAUGAUCAUCUAUUACAUUGUUCAAAAAUUUUUCAUUGCCACCUCAAGAGAAUUACAGAGGCUUGACAGUAUUACAAAGUCGCCAGUAUUUGCAUAUUUCUCUGAAACUCUCGGCGGCUUGAUUACCAUUAGAGCGUACAAAUCUGGGAGCCGAUUCCAAGAAUACAUCAUGGAAAAGAUAAAUUUAAAUAGUUUAGCUUACCUUUACCUUCAGACCUGCAACAGGUGGCUGGCAGUGAGACUGGACUUUAUCGGGACUUUUAUUGUACUAAUUGCCGGAUUGACAACGGUUAUCAGCGCUGUUCUCGGCAACACUGAUCCUAGUUCUGUUGGCCUAGCCAUCACUUACGCGUUACAGGUUUCUGGAUAUUUAAACUGGGUCAUAAGAAACAUGGCAGACACGGAGAUGUCCAUGAAUGCUGUAGAACGCGUUAGUCACUAUACUAACCUCGAAAGUGAACCGUAUGAAGGAUCCCGUGUACCACCGUUGUCAUGGCCUGAUAAGGGUGAUAUUGACUUCCGGGACAUUUCUGUACGAUACGCAAGAGACCUUGAUCCUGUUCUUAAGUCUAUUAGUCUUCAUUUCAAACCUGGAGAGAAAGUUGGUAUUUGUGGUCGAACUGGAAGUGGCAAAUCGUCUUUGACAUUAACUCUGUUUCGUGUGAUUGACACAUUCAAAGGUUGCAUUGUAAUUGAUGAUUUUGAUAUUGCGCAUGUUCCGUUAAGAAUUUUGCGUCAACGACUUUCCAUAAUUCCACAAGAUCCUGUCCUUUUCACUGGAACUAUCAGGUACAACCUCGACCCGCAGCAUUUGAGGACAGACCAGGAAUUGUGGGAAGCGAUCGAAAUAGCUCAAUUAAAAGAUGUCGUCAGUGGCCUGGAGGGCUCAUUAGACUACCAAGUGUCAGAAGGAGGGGAGAAUUUCAGCGUAGGUCAGCGCCAACUAUUCUGCUUGGCCAGAGCUUUCUUGAGGAAGUCACAGAUUCUAAUCAUGGAUGAAGCAACGGCUUCGAUUGAUAUGCAAACAGACCAAAUUCUACAGAAAGUGGUGGCAAGUGCUUUUAAGGAUAAAACAGUUCUGACAAUCGCGCAUCGUGUCUCCACCAUCAUCGAUUAUGAUACCAUACUUGUACUCGGUGAUGGAGAAGUCAAAGAACUUGAUUCACCAAAAAAUCUACUAGCACGUGACGACAGCAUCUUCAGCUCAUUGGUCAAAUCGAAUAAAUAAGAUAGACAACAAAUAAAGAAACCUCGCUUGAUUUUCAGUUUUGAGAGUAAUUGUUAUUGUCGUGAUGGAAUAGACAAUAACUGGAUUUGCGUCAGGUACGGCAAAAUUACAAGUAUUUUCAUUCUUGUUACCGAUUACGGAACCAUUAUUAUUCACGGACCUUAAUUGCCGCGAUUUUGUUAAAUGAAGUAUUCAAUCAUUACCUUUUUAUUUUCGCGAAUUGUUUUAAAAUGAAUUACGCAACGGCAACUCACUCGUCAACUUUCAAAAUCCGUAAUCAACAAUGUAUUUGUUUUUUUAGGAGACUAGUAGCUGAUUGAUAGAGGCGGUUGAGUAUAUUAUAGCGUGAUGAGAAAAGUAAUUUCAUACCUUAAUUACUUUCAGUUUUAUUGAUUGUUCAAGUUGCACGCAAGUGAACCAUUUUCGGCAUGUAAUCAAAAUUGUGUAGAACUGAAGAUAAAUGUUGCUAGUCGAAGCUGAUAGGCCUACUGUUUCUUUCGGGUCAACAAAAUGAGGUUAGAGUAUACACUUACACCUCUACAGACUGGCUAAUCCCGGUGGACGAGGAUCCCAAGUGAUGAAAUACAUAUACAUUUUCCAAUUGCUUUAACAAUUAAUUUAUAUAUAUUUAAGAAGUUUUCUCAUUUUUAGACGACCCUGGAGGAUAAUCUUAUGCGUAUUGCCAUUUUAUGUCUCACAAAUGCACUUUAAACUCCAAUUAUGAGUAUUGCAAUUGGUUGUAAAUUCGGCAAUUUGUUAAAGACAUAUUUCAAAAACAUAAGUUAUAUUUCGCAUUCGUGUUUAAAAGAAUGAAAUAGAAUUACAGCCAUAGUUAUAAAUACUCCAUUUUAAUUCAUAAAACCAUAACUGCUUGUUGUAAUAAAACUCAAAAUUACCAGCAGGCCUACAGAUAAAUAAGCAUAUAAUAAGUUUGCAUGUAGGCCUAUAUGCUUUUGCCAGAUCGUCCCCAAACCCGUUACAAUAUAAAUUUAGAAAAUUGAAUUAGAAGCAAUGACAGAACAUUUCAAGUGAAAAAUAUGCUGGUAAGUUUGUAAUUAUAAGUUGUGGCAGUAGAAAAGGUUCCCGGAUUGGAAGGUCAUUGUUUCAUUAUUCGAGCAUUCCUACUUGCUAUUAUCUGAUUAUUUCUAUAAGUGGACAUUCCUAUUUAGGGGACACUCUCUUGGUCCCGAAUCACGGGAAACCAUACAUUUUUGGCUGUAUUUUUAACACUACAGCCAAUCCCUGUUUCGGGACAAGCUUAUUGUCCGAUCAUGAGGUCUUGUGACGGUUAUGUAGUUAAGCCCGUGCCAAGUACGUGUGUGUGUAACCGAUUGUAUUUACCUAUUAAUAUUACAUUAAUAUUAUAAUUGGUAUUCAUUAUUAUUAUUAUUAUUAUUAUUGUUAUUAUUUUUUUUUUAUCAUAGUCGUCAUCGCCAGCCUCAUUUUAACUACAUUAUUACUUCCAUAUAUUACAAGUACUAAAUAAAAUCAAUGCAAUUAUAUUUUGAUAAUUUUUUUCGAUAAUUUAAGCACAAAAAAAUGCAAAUUGAUAUUCUUACUUAUACAAUAGUUGUCAUGUUCUAGGAUGGCAGCAUCAGGAGAUAUUCCUCUAUAAAUAUUUAACGUCGAUCUAUCGGAUUCGGCGGAGCUUUGUUAGCGGUCAAUACCCAUUGUAAUGGCUUGCUGUUAAUGCGUUUAGCUUACUACAGUAUGUAAAAAAGGCACGAGCCGGUAUUUAGUGAAUUUACUGUACUGUCAAAAUGUAUUCAGGUUCAUGUCGUGGAAAGAUCAAUACUAAAAUUGUUGAUUUAGGUUUGCGUUCAUACACAUCAUUAACAUAGUGUUAAUCACAGAAGGAAGAUCUUGUUAGCGCCAUUUCGUUAAAUUCAGAUGUAUAGUAUAGUGUGAAUGCAAGUCGUGUUAAACAAACAUAGACGGAUGUAAAAAAGUAAAAGAAAAACAACCAUCGGGUUGAGUUCGCUAUAGGCUAUAGGCCUAUUUCUAAGAGACUGCGUGGACACUAUAAUCAAGAUCAUUUUCUCCAUGAUACGAUCGAUGAAGGCCUAGUUAUUCCGACUUUCUCCCGAUGUAUACCUGUCCACCGCAAAUCAAGUGGUUAUAAUACGAAGUUAAAAUAAAUGAAUAACGAAUUGUACUAUAAUACACCGCAUCAGGGUGCUUAGGAAUUCGAAUAGAUUUCUAAUGCUGUUAUUGGAUAUAAAAUCAUACGGUAACUAAAAGAAAGGAAGGGAGAUGUAUAGCUGAACACUAAGGACAGUCUGGGACCCAAAUAGUUACCGGUCCAAACUAGGGGCGCUAGGGGUAUCUGCUUUAAAAUUUGUAUGUGUAAUAUUGAGCAUACUAUACAGUGUUAUAUAAGCCUAUAAUAUUUGAUAAGGCUUAGUUAUAAUAUUAUCUCCACUAUAUAUUUUAUACAUUGCUUUUGUUACAUUAUUCAUAUAUAUAUGUAUAUAUAUAUAUAUAUAUAUUUGUGUACGGUAUUUGAAAAAUAAUGAUAACCACAAUGCAAUUAAAUUUUGAAUCAUUUUGUAAUAAUUCAAGAACAGAAAUGCAAAUUGACUAUUUUCAUAUAGGAGAGUGAUACUGUACUAAGUAAGCACAAUGCAAGUAUUUAAGCACAAACAUGUAUGUGUGUUGUUAUCACGUAUUUACCACGCUUUGUGUGGCGACCCUAAACGUAACAUUGUUUAAUGAUUAAUGAAUCUUUAUUUGAACAUUCUUUACAACAUUGUAUCCAUGAGGAAUGAUGAAUAUGAUUUACAAACAAUCAGAACAAAAGUUUGUAUUAGUCUUCUGUAUUGGAGUAGGCCUAUAGGGCUAUUAAAAGCUAAAGCAUAAUAGUUUGCACAACUGUCCUACGUAAUUGUUAUCCCGCCCCCGUGAUCAGCUCUAUUGUAAUAUCAUUGACCUGAACACAAACGAGAUCGUUCUAAUGACGUCACUUCAUUUCAGCAACAUUCAUAUAUGGAAAACAAAUCAUGACUUUGUACAUGAAUUGGAUAACAGAUGCCACAAGAUGUGAAGUCCAGACUUUUUAUAGAUUAAAAACAUUUUCUACUAUAACGCAAUUAUUGAAUAGGCCUCAGUGUAAUAAUAAUAAUAAUAAUAAUAAUCAUCAUAAUCAUAAUAAAUAAUAAUAAAUGAUAAUAAUAAUAUUAAUACUGUAAUAA